Spiroplasma corruscae is the source of this 75-nucleotide non-coding RNA. NCBI's taxonomy places the organism in Bacteria, Bacillati, Mycoplasmatota, Mollicutes, Entomoplasmatales, Spiroplasmataceae. The record is from Rfam.
UUGAAGUUUCAACCGCUCUUUUGUAUGUUUUAAGAAAUAGUUAUAUUCACAUACAAGGCGAGUCUAUUCGGAGGU